GUUCACAUCGACGGGGAGGUUUGGCACCUCGAUGUCGGCUCAUCGCAUCCUGGGGCUGUAGUCGGUCCCAAGGGUUGGGCUGUUCGCCCAUUAAAGCGGUACGCGAGCUGGGUUCAGAACGUCGUGAGACAGUUCGGUCCCUAUCCGUCGUGGGCGUAGGAAAUUUGAGAGGAGCUGUCCUUAGUACGAGAGGACCGGGAUGGACAUACCUCUGGUGUACCAGUUGUCGCGCCAGCGGCAUAGCUGGGUAGCUAUGUAUGGACGGGAUAAGUGCUGAAAGCAUCUAAGCAUGAAGCCCCCCUCAAGAUGAGAUUUCCCAACUUCGGUUAUAAGAUCCCUCAAAGAUGAUGAGGUUAAUAGGUUCGGGGUGUAAGCGCAGUAAUGUGUGUAGCUGACGAAUACUAAUCGAUCGAAGACUUAAUCAAAUUUUA
RNAcentral lists this ribosomal RNA (431 nucleotides) under Salmonella enterica subsp. enterica serovar Typhimurium. Its description in RNAcentral is "partial 23S ribosomal RNA". It matches the Rfam family "Bacterial large subunit ribosomal RNA", at positions 2498 to 2925 of the family's 2925-position model. Lineage: Bacteria; Pseudomonadati; Pseudomonadota; Gammaproteobacteria; Enterobacterales; Enterobacteriaceae. The record is from RNAcentral.